Molecule: ribosomal RNA, 458 nt
Filed under: uncultured bacterium
Lineage: Bacteria
Description: bacterial SSU rRNA
Rfam family: Bacterial small subunit ribosomal RNA
Source: RNAcentral
AUGAGGAUACGGGAGUGGCGAAAGGGUGCGUAACACGUGGGAAUUGUCUGAGAGUUCAGGAUAAUCGCUGAAAGGCGGAGUAAUACUGGAUGUGGAUAUUGGCUGGGAACGGCUGAUAUCGUAAAGCCGGGGACCGCAAGGCCUGGUGCUCUUAGGUAAGCCCGCGACCUAUCAGCUAGUUGGUGAGGUAAGAGCCCACCAAGGCGGAGACGGGUAGCUGGUCUGAGAGGACGACCAGCCACACUGGAACUGAGACACGGUCCAGACACCUACGGGUGGCAGCAGUCGAGAAUUUUUCUCAAUGGGGGAAACCCUGAAGGAGCGACGCCGCGUGGGGGAUGAAGGGCUUUCCGGCUCGUAAACCCCUGUCAUUUGUGAGCAAGUGUUAUUGUUUAAGAGAUGAUGACAUUGAUAGUAGCAAAAGAGGAAGGGACGGCUAACUCUGUGCCAGCCGCGGC